RNAcentral lists this transfer RNA (77 nucleotides) under Trichobilharzia regenti. Its description in RNAcentral is "tRNA-Gly". The record is from RNAcentral. Lineage: Eukaryota; Metazoa; Platyhelminthes; Trematoda; Strigeidida; Schistosomatidae.
AUGACGAUAGCAUAAAUUUUUUAUUGUGCUUUCUUUCCAAGUAAGCGGUCUCUUAUUUUAUUUCGAGAGUUGUCAUA